This is a long non-coding RNA of Pogoniulus pusillus (Red-fronted tinkerbird), 1697 nucleotides long. RefSeq lists it as uncharacterized. Lineage: Eukaryota; Metazoa; Chordata; Aves; Piciformes; Lybiidae. The transcript is spliced from 2 exons. The record is from RefSeq and is a predicted model, not a curated record.
CGCGGCUGGAAGGGGAAGGAGCUGCUGCUGCCCGCGGGAGCACUCCGGGCUGGGAGCUGCCUCCUGCCGCAGGCUGCGCUCGGGCCGGACAAGGAGUUGACAAAUGGGCUCCUCAGGACAGCAACAGGAACAUGUAAGCCUGUGGUCUGUGAGUGCUGGAGAGAAGGAAGAGGCAAGAAGAGGCUGCCCUGCUGAAAUGAUUCUUUGGAGUCUGAUACCUGUGUGCCCCAGGCCAGCACCGCUGCUCCUUGCCUGUUCUGCUUCUUGUGUUUGGCAUGCACAGUUCAGCUGAGAUCCUGGCCUCUGAGAAACCCUUUUGACAUGAAAAGAGAAGUGACCUUUCUUCCUUAAAUGUCCUGCCCUCUCUUGCUCCUUGUACAAGUUUCAGCCCUGUGGAGGGGAUGGAAAUCUCUUUAUCCUGCCACCCUCACAAAGGUGCUGAGGAAGCUGAGGUUGGGACUGGAUCUGGGGUUUGUGUGGAAAGUGGUAGAGCUGCAGUGGAACCAGUUUAGCACCAAUGAAACUGGAAAAGAUUAACUGACUAAAAAUAAAUUACACUUCUUUAAAUAGCCUUUUGCACCACAGGAGAAAGUGAAAAUCACUCAUACAGAGACUGCCUUGGAGCACAAGUGAAGGGUGAGGCUGGGCAGGGCUCUGGGCAGCCUGAUCUAGUGGAGGAUGUCCCUGCUGACUGCAGGUGGGGCAGGGCUAGAGGAGCUUUGGAGGUCCCUUCCAAGCCAAACCAUUCCGUGGUUCUAUGAACAGCAGGAGCUGAAGAGGACUGAAGAGGUGAAUGGGGAAUUAGCUCUCCUGAAGCCUUUGCAGGCAGCAUCCUCAGGAGUUUUGGUCUCAAGAGAAGGAGAAGGAGGUGCAGGCUUGCUAACACCUUGCCAGGUAGAUCCUUUGCUAGGUGGAAACAGUGACACCUCAGGUGUUCCAGGAACCUCUCAGGUGGUCUGUGAAAAUCCAAGCCCCACUGUCCUACUGUGGUGGAGGGUCACACAGGCCCAAAUAGGCUUACAUAUGCCUAUGCCUGCCUGGACAUGCUUUUCUGCCAGGACUCCUGGUUGUAAACAGGUUGUGUAAGCCCCUACACACCCAGCUCAUGUCUCCCUGGGGUAAGUCCAUGUGAUCCCCAUAUUUGGGAUAGUCCAGGCCAGUGCCUUCUGCCCAUUAUGGUAAAGUUUGGCUGACUGCCAACCUGGUUGGUCAUUGUAGUGGCCAAAGGACCAUCAAUCUCGGCCCACAUCUGAUAAAUAGGACGAUGCAGGUAAACAAAGUGCCUCUUGCCUCCUGCCACCUCCUCCGCUCACCUCUCCUAGCCUCCUCGUCGCCCGAUCAGGCCCGUGGCAUCUUCUCAGCGCGCCCCAAACCCAAAUCGAGGGUUAACUACGUGGCUCUCACUCUAUACACUUUUGGACCACAAAGACUGAGAGUUCCAAUUAGUGAGUAAGUGAACUCUCUCGAUUUGAGUAGCUAAGAAAUUUCCUUGGCUUUGCCAGUGGCACUUUAUGCCACAGGACUCUCUAACCAGAACCUGUCCAAACCUCUACCAAAUUGCUUAAUCCUGCUGUAAAUGGACGCUCUGUAAAAAUAGCUUCACUAACCGCGUACAAAGAAUUUGUGUGGGUUAACUGUACAGAAGUUUGGGGGAAAAUACCUUUGUUUAUAUUAUUAAAUUAUUUAAAACUUCCAAA